Haliotis rufescens (red abalone) is the source of this 1429-nucleotide long non-coding RNA. RefSeq lists it as uncharacterized. The transcript is spliced from 3 exons. NCBI's taxonomy places the organism in Eukaryota, Metazoa, Mollusca, Gastropoda, Lepetellida, Haliotidae. The record is from RefSeq and is a predicted model, not a curated record.
UCUAAUAAAGUUCCUGACGUAUUUUAGGCCAGGGGUGGACACUCGCAUUAAUGUGGUGACUCAUCAUUGCAUUAAUUUCACGAUUUACAGUAUUCAUGAAGAAUAUUUUGUAUGGGACCAGACGCAUGGUGGAAUAGAGAAAAUUAUGAGGAUAGACUUACUAAGUAUUUUAUGAUAUUCAUGCCAGCUCAAAAUAAACUUUGAUUUAUUUUUAUGGUAUCCACAAGAUAAGCAGGAUUAAACUAACAUCUUAAGAUGACAUUAAACUGAAUUAUAUUUGCUGUUUACAUAUCAAAGUUUCCGAAAAUGUUACAAAUUGUUUAGCCACAGCAAGGCUAUUCAUUCGUGACAUGUUUCAUCUGAUCUGCUGAUUUAUUUUCAACACUGUCAAAUCUCCUUCCUUGUUUCGAGAGAAGUACUGCGCAGUAAGAGUUGUGAAUAAUCACUCGACCUCCGGACAUGGCACAUCGAAACUUGGAGGUCAGGGAUCACACCUCCCCUUUCUCCCAGGGAGGGGUGGGGAUGUAUUCGGGAUCUGUUAGUCAUCAACCUCGUGUGUGUCAAGAGUUAAGUGCGGAAGAUUCAAUGUUUAACAACAGCGACGCAGAUGGUACUGAAUGCAACGGGAACAAAUCAUUGAAACGUUGCCAGAAAACGACCAAAGGGAAGUCUCACCCCUGCUCGUCCAUUGUGUUAUAAAUCCAGGGUGUCGAGUGGUGUAUCGCUGGACGUCGUGGCAGGAUGGUGUGCUCCCUCAACCGGUUGCUGACGGUUCUCCCACUAAUUGGUCUCAACCAAGGAAUCAUUUGCAGAUGUAACGGCUUUGACUGCUUCAGUAGCUCAAGGAAGGUCCUGAAGUCCACGUUUUCCGCAUUUAAUGUAAAAUGAGAACAGAUGGCGGCGGGCAAGUUUACACAUUGUACGUUUUAUUCUCAUAAAUUAGCAACAGCAGCAAGAAGGCUAGUAAGCAGCAGCUUUACUGUCCUGCCUGGUAGACUGCAUUCGGCAGCCGUGGAGAGCAGGGUAUCGUAUUUCUGAUUCAACGCCAAGACCACGUGACAUUGCUCACUUCCGCCUUGCUGAGCGUCAUGCUCGCCUUUCUGAGACAACAAGGAGGUGAGGCAAAGUGUCAGGGAUAUAGUGUUAAUGUUGAUGCUCCAUGACUAACAAAAUCUUGACCUUAGGUUUUGACCAGUGGAAAGCAAGAUUUGUUUAUGUAGUUACAUGUCAUGUCACUUUUUAUUGUAUUGUGUAAACAAACAUAAAAUGCCUCUGAAAAUCAUUGUUAUCUUUCUCCUGCAUUGUGUAUAUCAAUUGUUAUUUACUUUGCAUCAAUGACCAAGAUUCUUUAUCAAAGUAUAGAAAAACUUCCUAAAGCAUAGAAAAUAUACUAUUGCAGAGAUUCAUGAAUUUUACUGUCAACUGUAGG